This 397-nucleotide ribosomal RNA is filed under the name uncultured bacterium. RNAcentral describes it as "partial 16S ribosomal RNA". It matches the Rfam family "Bacterial small subunit ribosomal RNA", at positions 523 to 918 of the family's 1533-position model. The record is from RNAcentral.
AUACGUAGGUGGCAAGCGUUAUCCGGAAUUACUGGGUGUAAAGGGCGCGCAGGCGGCCCUGCAAGUCGGAUGUGAAAGAUCAAGGCUCAACCUUGACAGGCCAUUCGAAACUGUGGGACUUGAGUGUCAGAGGGGAAAGUGGAAUUCCUAGUGGAGCGGUAAAAUGCGCAGAUAUUAGGAGGAACACCGGUGGCGAAGGCGACUUUCUGGCUGACAACUGACGCUGAGGCGCGAAAGCGUGGGGAGCAAACAGGAUUAGAUACCCUGGUAGUCCACGCCGUAAACGAUGAUUACUAGGUGUAGGGGGUAUCGACUCCCUCUGUGCCACAGUUAACGCAUUAAGUAAUCCACCUGGGGAGUACGGCCGCAAGGUUAAAACUCAAAGGAAUUGACGGGG